GAUGAACGCUGGCGGCGUGCCUAAUACAUGCAAGUCGAGCGAACAGACGAGGAGCUUGCUCCUCUGACGUUAGCGGCGGACGGGUGAGUAACACGUGGAUAACCUACCUAUAAGACUGGGAUAACUUCGGGAAACCGGAGCUAAUACCGGAUAAUAUAUUGAACCGCAUGGUUCAAUAGUGAAAGACGGUUUUGCUGUCACUUAUAGAUGGAUCCGCGCCGCAUUAGCUAGUUGGUAAGGUAACGGCUUACCAAGGCAACGAUGCGUAGCCGACCUGAGAGGGUGAUCGGCCACACUGGAACUGAGACACGGUACAGACUCCUACGGGAGGCAGCAGUAGGGAAUCUUCCGCAAUGGGCGAAAGCCUGACGGAGCAACGCCGCGUGAGUGAUGAAGGUCUUCGGAUCGUAAAACUCUGUUAUUAGGGAAGAACAAAUGUGUAAGUAACUAUGCACGUCUUGACGGUACCUAAUCAGAAAGCCACGGCUAACUAAGUG
Molecule: ribosomal RNA, 497 nt
Filed under: uncultured bacterium
Lineage: Bacteria
Description: partial 16S ribosomal RNA
Rfam family: Bacterial small subunit ribosomal RNA
Source: RNAcentral